UCGAAAUCUCCGUCACAGGGUUGAGUCUGGGUUAAUGUUUUAUAAGGAACUGACUACCCUCGUCUACCUGUCGGUCUUCCCUGACGUAAUACCAGGACUGAACUCGCCCUUUGGGGUGCAGAGGACACUUCCCCAAGCCCGCAUCAAGGGUCCUCCUUUCCAAAAGUCUCGAAGUGGGCCAGAGACCCCUCUCCCUGGACCCCCUCGCCUCUUGCCUUCAGCGCGCGUUCCGGCACCCAAUUUCAGUUGGCGAGGGGAGCCUGUGCAUCAUUACUGAACGCAAAUCCUAGCAUUCCUCCGCUAGAGGUACCAAGCGACCUUGGUGUUGGGGUUCCCUGUGCCUCCGCGGCUGGACUCUCUGGGGAACAGAGACGGAGAACGGACACUUCCCAUCGAGACAGAACUCCUGGAUCAGUCCUUGGGCAGAAGGUCGAUUUGGGAACGGACGUGCACCCUCUCCCUCAGCUCUAGCGCAGGGGCCCUUCUAAGCCACCCGCCCAGUGUGGCAGUGCUCCCUAGGGCGUCGAUGACCGUGCCCUGCCAGGCCUUGUCUUGCACCAGUUCCCCGGGACCCCACAAUGUGCGACUACCCUCUGUCUGCAAUCCGUGUGCCCUGCCUUCCUCUGCCUGCCGCUCAGGGGCCAGAGACGCUCUGCGGCUGAGCCUGAGAAGACACUAAUGUUACUGUAAAUGUGGGAUGAAGCCGGAUGGUCACAGAGCUGACCCUUUCUGCGCCCUUGUCAUGCUCCAUUCCGCCUCCGAGUUUAGGCUUUCCUUUCGGGACUGAGCCUGCCAGCCGACACGUCUGAGCCGGCUGCUAAUGAACAAAUAAACUGCAAAAAACGAAGGAAGGGGAGGGUUCGACAAGAUUCAGACUAAAACUGGGUAUAAAUACCUGGGGAGUGUCCUGCAUGGUGGCUGAAAAAUGUCAAGCGGAGUCGCCCAAGUCUUUGGGCCUUUGAGAGCGGCCGGACUUGGUGAUGCCACUUCCCUAGAGGCCCGCUCCUGCAAGGCAGAGCCGCAAAGGACAGAAGAAUUCCACUUCGAUUCUACUUGAGCUGAGAUCCUCUACAAGUGCACGGAAUCUUCCCUCCCGGAACCGGACAGAUUGGACAUAAUUUCUAUUUCAGAUUUAGACAACCGCCAGUCAUUGAGGCUGUGCCCGGGCAGCAAGAAAGGGUGGCGGGCACACAGGAGCACUCCGAGCGCUCCGCAGGGCCUCUGCCCCAGACACCCGGCGGAGACAUUCCGGGCUACCCUUACACCUGACCCGGCACAGGGAAUGGGGCGACUGUUUAGAGUCCCAGCGCUGGGCCACUGCAGAGAGAAUGGGACUCACUAUGCCAACUUAAUUGGCCUUGGGCCUUCAGACCUUGACACACGCGAAGAUAUAGUAGCUGUCCCUAGCCUAGCCUGAGCCAUAAAGACACAGUAGUCGCCUACUGUGUGGGGGUACCUGAGGAGGAAAGUUUGUUUCAUUGUGGACAUUGUUUUAGUAUUCUCAGAAGAGCAGGACCAUUCCUAAAUAAUUGGGGUUCCUCUUCCUCACAUAAAAUUUAAAUUUUCGAGGAUCAAAGACUGGCAAUGAAUAAUCCACUAAAAUCAUUAAUAUUAUAAGAGUCUGAACCUCUUUUUUUUUAGAAAUUCCUAGACCUAUAGAGAAAUGCAGCAAGAAUCCGUGGCUUUGUAUUCUGUGUCACCAUUUGUCAGGAAAAGUUUCAAGCUGCCGGGAUUCCCUAGAACUGAAAAACAACUCUUGUAGAAAUCAGGUUUUUUACUCUGUAAGUUUAGUAUUGUUUUAGCUUCAAGUACAUGAUCAUACCUUAUUUGAAAUCAUCACUAUAGCUUCUGAUACCUGUUUUUUAUAUUUUUUUCAUGUUAUUAUUUUUUGGUAGUGAUCUGUCUCCUUAAGAAAAAAAAAGGUGUUCCCCCACCACCACCCCAGUGGCUAGACCUACAAUUUCUAGCAAAUAAAUUUGCCUUGCAAAUGCUCUGCACAAAAUUUAGUUCUUCACAUUUUAAGUCAACAUCAAAACUAGAAUCAAACGGAGAAAAUCAGUGUAGAGCAUAAACUGUGCUUAAAGGCUUUUAAAUGAGAAAAACUUCUGUAAGAAAAUAAACAUGGAAACUUAA
Molecule: long non-coding RNA, 2133 nt
Organism: Marmota monax (woodchuck)
Lineage: Eukaryota; Metazoa; Chordata; Mammalia; Rodentia; Sciuridae
Exons: 2
Source: RefSeq, a predicted model, not a curated record